This 253-nucleotide ribosomal RNA is filed under the name uncultured bacterium. RNAcentral's name for it is "partial 16S ribosomal RNA". It matches the Rfam family "Bacterial small subunit ribosomal RNA", at positions 524 to 776 of the family's 1533-position model. The record is from RNAcentral.
UACAGAGGGGGCAAGCGUUGUUCGGAAUUACUGGGCGUAAAGGGCGCGUAGGCGGCCGCCUAAGUCAGACGUGAAAUCCCUCGGCUCAACCGGGGAACUGCGUCUGAUACUGGGUGGCUUGAAUCCGGGAGAGGGAUGCGGAAUUCCAGGUGUAGCGGUGAAAUGCGUAGAUAUCUGGAGGAACACCGGUGGCGAAGGCGGCAUCCUGGACCGGCAUUGACGCUGAGGCGCGAAAGCCAAGGGAGCAAACGGG